CUACGGGGGGCUGCAGUGGGGAAUAUUGGACAAUGGGCGAAAGCCUGAUCCAGCCAUGCCGCGUGUGUGAAGAAGGCCUUCGGGUUGUAAAGCACUUUCAGUGGGGAAGAAAGCCUUGGGGCUAAUACCCUCGAGGAAGGACAUCACCCACAGAAGAAGCACCGGCUAACUCCGUGCCAGCAGCCGCGGUAAUACGGAGGGUGCGAGCGUUAAUCGGAAUUACUGGGCGUAAAGCGCGCGUAGGCGGUCUGAUAAGCCGGUUGUGAAAGCCCCGGGCUCAACCUGGGAACGGCAUCCGGAACUGUCAGGCUAGAGUGCAGGAGAGGAAGGUAGAAUUCCCGGUGUAGUGGUGAAAUGCGUAGAGAUCGGGAGGAAUACCAGUGGCGAAGGCGGCCUUCUGGACUGACACUGACGCUGAGGUGCGAAAGCGUGGGUAGCAAACAGGAUUAGAUACCCCGGUAGUC
This 464-nucleotide ribosomal RNA is filed under the name Vreelandella stevensii. Its description in RNAcentral is "partial 16S ribosomal RNA". It matches the Rfam family "Bacterial small subunit ribosomal RNA", at positions 339 to 795 of the family's 1533-position model. The record is from RNAcentral. Lineage: Bacteria; Pseudomonadati; Pseudomonadota; Gammaproteobacteria; Oceanospirillales; Halomonadaceae.